Molecule: long non-coding RNA, 744 nt
Filed under: Zostera marina
Lineage: Eukaryota; Viridiplantae; Streptophyta; Magnoliopsida; Alismatales; Zosteraceae
Description: long non-coding RNA (ZMAR_LNC004786)
Source: RNAcentral
UUCGGAUACGGGAAGUCGAGUGUUGGUGGAGCGUCCUGACCGACCGGGCCCAACACACGAAGAGGACGGAGUGAAAUUGGGACUACCGUAGAAAACGCACACGUGGGGUUAGCGGGACUGAGUAGCAAACGAUAAAUAAUCCCCACGGAGCGGCGGGAAACGGAGCCCAUGUGGCAAGACUCAGGCGGUAUACGAACCUCGUACGGAUGAUCAAAAAAUCAAUGCGAAUUUGCAAAAUGAGACAAGCAAUUACAUCAAAAGAAGAGUUGCAGUAUACAAAAAAAAAAGGAUCCCUUCAAUUACAACAACCAAAAACCAAAGGGAAAGGAAAAUAAAAUAGACACGCGGACACGCGGAAUCCCCCAUGACUUGCAUCGUCAAUAGCACCUAUCGGAAAGGAAGUAACCAAAAUCAUUGGCAGGGAGAUCACGCGCGACGCAUGGCAGGAGGAGUACGUUUUCGGUCGGAGUGGUUGCAGGUGUAGUAGGGGCUUAACAAUAUGAGGAUCGAUCACCACAUGGUCGGUAUACUCUUACCUAAGAGUCGAAAAAUACACACGACCAUCGGGAAGGAAUUCAGACAGUAAAUAAAGGACUUUCUCCCAAUAGAGGAUCAAGCUCUCUGACUCAGCUCCUCAAGAAUCAGAGAGUACAUACAUUUUUACUUUGAAUAAGAAAGAAGGCGAAAAUUUAUACAUCAUAGAAACGUUUAUUACUGAUGAUAUCCCCAAUCCGACAGAACGAC